RNAcentral lists this small RNA (741 nucleotides) under Schizosaccharomyces pombe (fission yeast). RNAcentral describes it as "small heterochromatic RNA precursor". Lineage: Eukaryota; Fungi; Ascomycota; Schizosaccharomycetes; Schizosaccharomycetales; Schizosaccharomycetaceae. The record is from RNAcentral.
GAAAGAGUGGUGGAAUUUUCCAAGCUCAUACCCGUCUUCGUAAGGGUGCUGCUCAGCUCCGUACUUUGGACUUUGCUGAACGCCAUGGUUAUAUUCGUGGUGUCGUCCAAAAGAUCAUUCAUGAUCCUGGUCGUGGCGCUCCUUUGGCUAAGGUUGCCUUUCGUAACCCUUAUCAUUACAGAACCGAUGUUGAGACCUUUGUUGCAACUGAGGGUAUGUACACGGGCCAAUUUGUCUACUGCGGUAAGAACGCUGCUUUGACUGUUGGUAAUGUGCUGCCUGUUGGUGAAAUGCCUGAGGGUACCAUCAUUUCAAACGUUGAGGAAAAGGCUGGUGACCGUGGUGCAUUGGGUCGUUCUUCGGGUAACUAUGUUAUCAUUGUCGGUCAUGAUGUUGACACUGGCAAGACCCGUGUCAAGUUGCCCUCUGGUGCUAAGAAGGUUGUCCCUUCUUCUGCCCGUGGUGUUGUCGGUAUUGUUGCUGGUGGUGGACGUAUUGAUAAGCCUUUACUCAAGGCUGGACGUGCAUUCCACAAGUACCGUGUCAAACGCAACUGCUGGCCUCGUACUCGUGGUGUCGCUAUGAAUCCUGUUGAUCACCCCUCAUGGUGGUGGUAACCAUCAACACGUUGGUCAUUCUACCACUGGUUCCUCGUCAAUCUGCUCCUGGUCAAAAGGUCGGUCUUAUUGCCGCCCGCAGAACAGGUCUUUUGCGUGGNGCUGCUGCUGUCGAAAACUAANC